CGUAGGGUGCGAGCGUUAAUCGGAAUUACUGGGCGUAAAGCGUGCGCAGGCGGUUAUAUAAGACAGAUGUGAAAUCCCCGGGCUCAACCUGGGAACUGCAUUUGUGACUGUAUAGCUAGAGUACGGCAGAGGGGGAUGGAAUUCCGCGCGUAGCAGUGAAAUGCGUAGAUAUGCGGAGGAACACCGAUGGCGAAGGCAAUCCCCUGGGCCUGUACUGACGCUCAUGCACGAAAGCGUGGGGAGCAAACAGGAUUAGAUACCCUGGUAGUCCACGCCCUAAACGAUGUCAACUGGUUGUUGGGUCUUCACUGACUCAGUAACGAAGCUAACGCGUGAAGUUGACCGCCUGGGGAGUACGGCCGCAAGGUUG
RNAcentral lists this ribosomal RNA (370 nucleotides) under uncultured organism. RNAcentral describes it as "bacterial SSU rRNA". It matches the Rfam family "Bacterial small subunit ribosomal RNA", at positions 526 to 896 of the family's 1533-position model. The record is from RNAcentral.